This 469-nucleotide ribosomal RNA is filed under the name uncultured bacterium. Its description in RNAcentral is "partial 16S ribosomal RNA". It matches the Rfam family "Bacterial small subunit ribosomal RNA", at positions 28 to 507 of the family's 1533-position model. The record is from RNAcentral.
GACGAACGCUGGCGGCGUGCUUAACACAUGCAAGUCGAACGGAAAGGCCCCGCUUGCAGGGUGCUCGAGUGGCGAACGGGUGAGUAACACGUGGGUGAUCUGCCCCUUACUUUGGGAUAAGCCUGGGAAACUGGGUCUAAUACUGGAUAGGACCAUGCUGUAGGUGGUGUGGUGGAAAGAUUAGUUUCGGUAAGGGAUGAGCUCGCGGCCUAUCAGCUUGUUGGUGGGGUAAUGGCCUACCAAGGCGUCGACGGGUAGCCGGCCUGAGAGGGUGGACGGCCACAUUGGGACUGAGAUACGGCCCAGACUCCUACGGGAGGCAGCAGUGGGGAAUAUUGCACAAUGGGCGCAAGCCUGAUGCAGCGACGCCGCGUGGGGGAUGACGGCCUUCGGGUUGUAAACUCCUUUCAGCCAUGACGAAGCCCUUGUGGUGACGGUAGUGGUAGAAGAAGCACCGGCUAACUACGUG